Molecule: ribosomal RNA, 416 nt
Filed under: uncultured bacterium
Lineage: Bacteria
Description: partial 16S ribosomal RNA
Rfam family: Bacterial small subunit ribosomal RNA
Source: RNAcentral
UGGGGAAUAUUGCACAAUGGGCGCAAGCCUGAUGCAGCCAUGCCGCGUGUGUGAAGAAGGCCUUCGGGUUGUAAAGCACUUUCAGCGAGGAGGAAGGGUUCAGUGUUAAUAGCACUGUUCAUUGACGUUACUCGCAGAAGAAGCACCGGCUAACUCCGUGCCAGCAGCCGCGGUAAUACGGAGGGUGCAAGCGUUAAUCGGAAUUACUGGGCGUAAAGCGCACGCAGGCGGUUUGUUAAGUCAGAUGUGAAAUCCCCGCGCUUAACGUGGGAACUGCAUUUGAAACUGGCAAGCUAGAGUCUUGUAGAGGGGGGUAGAAUUCCCAGGUGUAGCGGUGAAAUGCGUAGAGAUCUGGAGGAAUACCGGUGGCGAAGGCGGCCCCCCUGGACAAAGACUGACGCUCAGGUGCGAAAGCG